This 440-nucleotide ribosomal RNA is filed under the name uncultured bacterium. RNAcentral describes it as "partial 16S ribosomal RNA". It matches the Rfam family "Bacterial small subunit ribosomal RNA", at positions 338 to 795 of the family's 1533-position model. The record is from RNAcentral.
CCUACGGGUGGCUGCAGUGGGGAAUAUUGCACAAUGGGGGCAACCCUGAUGCAGCGACGCCGCGUGAGUGAAGAAGUACUUCGUUAUGUAAAGCUCUAUCAGCAGGGAAGAAAAUGACGGUACCUGUGAAAGAAGCACCGGCUAACUACGUGCCAGCAGCCGCGGUAAUACGUAGGGGGCAAGCGUUAUCCGGAUUUACUGGGGGUAAAGGGAGCGUAAACGGCAGGGCAAGUAUGGGGUGAAAGGCGGGGGCUUAACCCCCGGACUGCUCUGGAAACUGGACGGCUGGAGUGCAGGAGAGGUAAGUGGAAUUCCUAGUGUAGCGGUGAAAUGCGUAGAGAUUAGGAGGAACACCAGUGGCGAAGGCGGCUUACUGGACUGUAACUGACGUUGAGGCGCGAAAGCGUGGGGAGCAAACAGGAUUAGAUACCCGAGUAGUC